GGAAUCUUAGACAAUGGGGGAAACCCUGAUCUAGCCAUGCCGCGUGAGCGAUGAAGGCCUUAGGGUUGUAAAGCUCUUUCGCUGGGGCAGAUAAUGACGGUACCCAGUAAAGAAGCCCCGGCUACCUCCGUGCCAGCAGCCGCGGUAAUACGUCGGGGGCUAGCGUUGUGCGGAAUUACUGGGCGUAAAGCGCGCGUAGGCGGAUUGGAAAUUUGGGGGUGAAAUCCCGGGGCUCAACCCCGGAACGGCCUCCAAAACUAUCAGUCUUGAGUUCGAGAGAGGUGAGUGGAAUUGCGAGUGUAGAGGUGAAAUUCGUAGAUAUUCGCAGGAACACCAGUGGCGAAGGCGGCUCACUGGCUCGAUACUGACGCUGAGGUGCGAAAGUGUGGGGAGCA
This 395-nucleotide ribosomal RNA is filed under the name uncultured bacterium. RNAcentral's name for it is "bacterial SSU rRNA". It matches the Rfam family "Bacterial small subunit ribosomal RNA", at positions 358 to 770 of the family's 1533-position model. The record is from RNAcentral.